Molecule: ribosomal RNA, 252 nt
Filed under: uncultured Bacteroidales bacterium
Lineage: Bacteria; Pseudomonadati; Bacteroidota; Bacteroidia; Bacteroidales
Description: partial 16S ribosomal RNA
Rfam family: Bacterial small subunit ribosomal RNA
Source: RNAcentral
UACGGAGGUUCCAAGCGUUAUCCGGAUUUAUUGGGUUUAAAGGGUGCGUAGGCGGGCUUUUAAGUCAGCGGUAAAAAUUCGGGGCUCAACCCCGUCCGGCCGUUGAAACUGAUGAUCUUGAGUGGGCGAGAAGUAUGCGGAAUGCGUGGUGUAGCGGUGAAAUGCAUAGAUAUCACGCAGAACUCCGAUUGCGAAGGCAGCAUACCGGCGCCCGACUGACGCUGAGGCACGAAAGCGUGGGGAUCGAACAGG